AUACGUAUGUCGCAAGCGUUAUCCGGAUUUAUUGGGCGUAAAGCGCGUCUAGGUGGCUUAGUAAGUCUGAUGUGAAAAUGCGGGGCUCAACCCCGUAUUGCGUUGGAAACUGCUAAACUAGAGUACUGGAGAGGUAGGCGGAACUACAAGUGUAGAGGUGAAAUUCGUAGAUAUUUGUAGGAAUGCCGAUGGGGAAGCCAGCCUACUGGACAGAUACUGACGCUAAAGCGCGAAAGCGUGGGUAGCAAACAGGAUUAGAUACCCUGGUAGUCCACGCCGUAAACGAUGAUUACUAGGUGUUGGGGGUCGAACCUCAGCGCCCAAGCUAACGCGAUAAGUAAUCCGCCUGGGGAGUACGUACACAAGUAUGAAACUCAAAGGAAUUGACGGGG
Molecule: ribosomal RNA, 392 nt
Filed under: uncultured bacterium
Lineage: Bacteria
Description: partial 16S ribosomal RNA
Rfam family: Bacterial small subunit ribosomal RNA
Source: RNAcentral